AGAGUUUGAUCAUGGCUCAGGAUGAACGCUAGCUACAGGCUUAACACAUGCAAGUCGCGGGGCAGCAUGUUACUGGCUUGCCAGUAAUGAUGGCGACCGGCGCACGGGUGAGUAUCGCGUAUCCAACCUUCCCAUAUCCACGGGAUAGCCUGCCGAAAGGCAGAUUAAUACCGUAUGUUGUCGCACGCUGGCAUCAAAAUGCGACGAAAGGCUUAGCGGAUAUGGAUGGGGAUGCGUCCGAUUAGCUUGACGGCGGGGUAACGGCCCACCGUGGCGACGAUCGGUAGGGGUUCUGAGAGGAAGGUCCCCCACAUUGGAACUGAGACACGGUCCAAACUCCUACGGGAGGCAGCAGUGAGGAAUAUUGGUCAAUGGGCGCAAGCCUGAACCAGCCAAGUAGCGUGCAGGAUGACGGCCCUAUGGGUUGUAAACUGCUUUUAUGCGGGGAUAAAGUAUGGGACGUGUCCCAUUUUGCAGGUACCGCAUGAAUAAGGACCGGCUAAUUCCGUGCCAGCAGCCGCGGUAAUACGGAAGGUCCGGGCGUUAUCCGGAUUCAUUGGGUUUAAAGGGAGCGUAGGCCGCCCCUUAAGCGUGUUGUGAAAUGCCGCGGCUCAACCGUGGCACUGCAGCGCGAACUGGGGGGCUUGAGUGUGCGCGACGCAGGCGGAAUUCGUGGUGUAGCGGUGAAAUGCUUAGAUAUCACGAGGAACCCCGAUUGCGAAGGCAGCUUGCGGGAGCACUACUGACGCUGAAGCUCGAAGGCGCGGGUAUCGAACAGGAUUAGAUACCCUGGUAGUCCGCGCGGUAAACGAUGGAUGCCCGCUGUGUGCCAUUAUGGUAUGCGGCCAAGCGAAAGCGUUAAGCA
Molecule: ribosomal RNA, 865 nt
Filed under: uncultured bacterium
Lineage: Bacteria
Description: bacterial SSU rRNA
Rfam family: Bacterial small subunit ribosomal RNA
Source: RNAcentral